AAAGCCGUGUGCAUUGAAAGGUGCCCGCACGGUUUGGGGGGAGGCGUAGGGACAUCCUCCGCGGAGGUGUUCCACGCCUACCCUAC
RNAcentral lists this non-coding RNA (86 nucleotides) under Bradyrhizobium macuxiense. The record is from RNAcentral. Lineage: Bacteria; Pseudomonadati; Pseudomonadota; Alphaproteobacteria; Hyphomicrobiales; Nitrobacteraceae.